CCCGGCCGCCCCCCGCGCCGGCGGAGCAGGCCGCGGGGAGCGCGGACGCCCGGCCCUGCCGGGACAGGAAGUGGGCCGAGUUUCCCACUCCUCGGGCCCGCGCCUUCCUCCGCGGAAGGGAAGCGCCGGGGAGGCCGCGGGCCGGCCGGGGGCUGCGCCUGGCAGCCGGGUUUUCCCGGGCUUGCGGACUGUGGCCUCAGCGCCCCGCACGGAUAAUAAACGAAUGGACGGUUAACCAAGUAUUUACUGCGAACUGGCAGUGGGCUUGGCACGGUUCACAAGAUUGGGCGUCUGCAGCUAAUUAUCAGAAAGAGACCCUGCCCUUGGGAGCUUGUGUUCUGAAGGAGGAGUGGAUGAAUGGGUGCAGUUUUGCUCUUUUAACUUUUGAGAUCCUGGUGCUACUUACUACAAAUUAGUUUUACAGAUCUUACCCGAAGUCUACCUUCAAUACAAAAUGACCUGAAGAAGUAGAAAAACAAAACACUGAUAAUGAAAAAGAAGAAAAGAAAUUUCUCAUUCAAAGAUUUAUUUAAUAUUAAGUUUUAAAAAUACUCCUGGAAAGGACAGAAAGUGCUUUUAAUAAAUUACUUAUAUUGGCAAAUAUUGGAUUUGUUCCCACCAGUAAUGAAGGAAUCUAAUGACUUUCUGGAUGUGCGCAAAUAUAAAAUGAACAAAGAACUACUUAAUUCCAAUUUUCUUUUUUAUUACGUCCCCAGUUAUUUCACUUAUCAGUAAAUCUGAUUUCUUCAAGAUGACACUGUGAAGCGUGAGAGACAGUUCCUGGAUAAAUUUCGGCAUCUUAAGUUUUUUACCCUUCAGGAUUUAGCGUGCAGUCUUUGGUCUUUAAUUGCUUUACCUGACUUAAGGAAAAGCAACAGCUCUAUUGGACUAAAUCUCAUUUAACUUCCAGAGUGGGGUUUCUUAAAGUUGGACCUUUGUCUUUCAGGAAAUAGAAAGAUCAAGAACUCUGGAACAUGUCGAUUUUCCAUCUGUGAAAAGGUGUUCAGGUUUUCAAACUGCAGCCAUAUCUAUGUGAUUGAACCCUAUGAUACUGGUGUCUUAUACAUCAAAAGUAGAAUAUCAGCAUUUGAGACGGCUCAGCUUAAUAGUUCUCUCGUGAAGUUUCCCCAUGACCACUUGUAGAGGAUAUUGUGGUGAGAAUUUCUUGCAAAAGGAGGGAUGUUGUCAACUUCCAUGGAGGAAGUACUAGAUACCUACUUCAGCCAUCUCUUAAGUCCUGGUUUCAAACCCUCUCAACCGCAAAUGGAUCUUCCCAACCCCUCUGAUCCAAUCAGUCAUGGAGUCCUAUGAAUUCUUACCUCAGAAUAUCUCCCACCAACUCCCACCUCCACCUGACCCACACUACCCAUGGAUACCCUGCCUCCGAUACCUCCCGCUUUAACAUGUCAUUCCAUUAGAACUAUCUAUUGAGCGACUAUUCAGUGCUGGGUGCCAUGCCAGUUACUAGAGAAAGAAAGAUGGUUUUAAAAUAUGUCUUCAAAUUUUUUUGAUACUCCCCCCUUCAAGAGGUGACAAGACAAUUCCCUCUGUCUCCCUUGAGUAUGCCUUGGACUUCCUACUCAGUUCCAACAAAACAGAAUAUGGCAUCAGUGAUGGUUUGUGACUUCUAAGACUAGAUGAUAACAUGCAUUUUAGUUUUCUCUUCUCUCUUUUCUUGGAUCACUUUCCCUGAGAGAAGUUAGCUACAGUUGCGAGGAUUCUCAAAUAGCUUUAUGGACAGGUCCACGUGACACAGAACCAGGACUUCCUACCAACAACCGGCACUAACUUGCCAGGCAUGUGAGUGAGCCAUCUUGGAAGCAGAUCCUCCAGCCCCUGUCAAGCCUUCAGAUGACUACAGCCCUGGCUGACCUCUGGACUGCAACCUCAAGAGAGAGACCCUGAGCCAGAACCUGGCAGAUAAGCAUCUCCCAAAUUCCUGACACACAACAAGAAUUGCCCUCCAAGUCCUUGAUCCCAGCUCCCCAAGAAGGGGCCUCACAAUCCGUGCACCCUGCCUGUGCCUCCUGGGGCCCCGUGGUGGAUGAUCGAAGGUUAAUUGAAUCGCUUUGGAGACUGAACUUGAAACCUCCUGUACUGUUGAUAUUCACUGGCCUUUUCCCUGGUGCUAGGAAUCAGAAUGGAAACUUUACUACCGGAUAUUGAACAUACAGGUACACUCCUCAGGGGCCCAUCAGAGUUUGGAGACAGGUGCAUCAGCGGUGGCCUAGGUGGUCUUCCCUUCAUUCCAAAGCGCCUUCCUCCAGUGACUCACCAGCAGCAUGGAGGACCGAACUGCUCCCUAGGUAAAGCAGAUCUCUGGCUGAGCAAAGUGAUACACAACUAGUGACAUUUCCCGGCAGUAGAUUCAGACACGCCUAAAGCCCCUGUCAUAAUGAAUGCCUCCCUGACCUCCUUGCUAAUGGAAGCGGGCUCUGCAGCAUACAUACUAAGUUGGGACAACCGGACAACUGGAUGUGGGGCUUGGCACCCCUUUGCCUUGGCAAGAAUCCGUCCUGAUAGUGUGCCAUAUCUUACCACUGUCCUACACCAAGCACCAUAAUUUAUUACGGAAAGAAGCCUGUCCUAGAGAAAAGCAGCUGGGAAGACCUUCGGACUUCUGGGGUGUGCGAGCAUCAGCAGAGAGCAGUCCCUGAAAACAACCAACCGGAGGAUUCUACUAAGAGCAGCACGGUAUCUAUUUCCUGUCUGCUAUGGCCACUUACUCAGACGACAGUGCAAGUAGAGACUGCAUGCUCAUAGCCCUGGAUGACCAUGGAAGGAGGGGGUCAGUCUUCUGUCCUUUGGACAGUCCCCCCUGGCUUUAUGACUGUGGGUGACUCAUUCAGGAGUCUGGCAACUUUCUUCCUGCCAUUAAAGGAAAAGAUACACCAAAAAGUGUGGAUUCCUGGAUUCACCUUUUCCAUAAACUGUGUCCUCUUCCUGUCUCCCUGAUUUCUAGGAAUAGGACCAGUUGCUACUUGACACCUUUCCAGAGGCAACCAGUCAAGUCUUACCAAGUCCUUCUUCCCAAAGCCUAUGCAUCUGUCCUUUUUUAUAUACAUCAUUCAUCCACUUAGUCUAGUACCGAGGAUCAGUGAAAUAAUGGAUUGGAUAUCUUCUGUGAGGCAGUGCUAUUAUAAGAGAUGGUGCACAGUUUCUGCACUCGAAGAGCUUAUUGUUUAGUCAAGACUAGAGGCAAUGAACUGACCAUGGCAAUGACAGGAGUGCGCUGGACAUAGUGAAGCACUGGAUGUGGUGGGAGCCCACAGAACCGCACCUGCUCCAGCCUUGGAGAAGCCAAGGAAUGUUCCUCGGAGAAGCCAAGGAAUGUUCCUCAGAGAAAAUGACAGACAUCUAAAACGAGACACAAAGAACCAGUAAAAGUUAAGCAAAGAAAACCUGAUUUCAAAAAGCAAGGAAGGAAAAGCAAAGGAUUCAUUGUUGUUUCAGUUAUUUCAAGGAUGAAGUAAACGCCUCUCCAAGGUCGACUGCGAUUUCCAUACAAUUUACACUGGAGACUUAAGUGAUGGAAACAACAAUGCACAGAAUAGAUCGAAAGUCAAAUGGAUACUUCUGUGAAGAAUCUUAUGACACACACCUUGUUUUAUAGAUAAUUGAUAGAGGUUCAUCCUUGCAGUGUUUUAUCAAAAGGAAAAGACCAUGGAAGCUGCAUAAAAUCUGUGCUAUUCCUUCAGUGGGAAAAAAGGGAGAAAUAAAAGAAGCUCGAGCCUCUAUACUGACUCAUUUUCAUCUUCUUUCCAGAGUUCCCAGGAGCAGUCAAAAUCCCCCAAUCUGGAAGCUUCUGGAGGGAACCUGAAGUCCUCCUGACACCCACAGAACGUACACUAUGUGCAUAAGCAAAUACUGGCCUGCUCUUUAGUAGUUUUAAAGUUCUUUACCAAAGAGAAAGAUUUGAGACCAGAAGCUGCAUUCCCGGUGGACCCUUAAAUAACUUCUUGCUUUAUUUUUUCUGGAAGUUGGAGGGAAAAAUAAGUAUGCCAAGAUCUGUGUAACAGAGUCCAUAUGGAUGGAGCAGGAAGAUAUUAGAAUUUUAAUUUAUAUUUUCAUCUCUUUUUAAAAUUUCUGUUCUCUAUGUAUUUUAAAAUAAAUAUUCACGUGUGUGUGUAUGUGUAUUCAUGAUCACAUUUUUAAGUGGUGGAGGUACAUGCAAAAAAAAAAUUAGAGACAGUCAGUUUAGACCAGAGGACUCAGUCUCAAUUAACUGCAAAGCAUAUUAUAAUUAAUGUUUUACUGAUAAUAGUGAAAUAUUAUAUCAGUUUGGGAUUUUAAAAAAUCAGACCAGAUUUAAGAUUAUCACUCUCUCAGUAAGCUUAAAUUUUUUUUAUUUUAUUUUAAAGACUUUAUUUUUUUUUAGAACAAGUUUGGGUUCACAGCCAAGUUGAGGAAGGUACAGAGAUUUUCCAUAUACCCUUUGCUCCAUGUAUGCACAGCCUCCCCCAUUCUCAACAUCUCCCACCAGAGAUACAUUCGUUAUUAUUGAUGAACCUACAUUGAUUAGCACACCAUAACCACCCAAAGUCCAUAGUUUAGGGUUCGCUCUUGAUGUUGUAAAUUCUAUGGGUUUGGACAAAUAUGUAACAGGUAUCCAUCAUUAUAGCAUCAUACAGUGUAUUUUCACUGCCCUAAAAAUCCUUCUGUGCUUUGCCUAUUCAUUUGUCCUUCUACCUUCCAACCCCUGGCAAUCACUGAUCUUUUUACCAUGUCCAGAGUUUUGCUUUUUCCAGAAUGUCAUAUAAUGGGAAUCAUAGUAUUUAGCUUUUUCAGAUCAGCUUCUUUUACUUAGCAAUAUGCAUUUAAGCUUCCCAUGUCUUCUCAUAGCUUGAUACCUCAUUUCUUUUUAAUGCUGAUUAAUAUUCCAUCCAACAUUAAAAAGAAAUGUCUGUAUGUACCGCAAUGUAUUAAUCCAUUCAUCUAUGUUUUGGUUGCUUCCAAGUUUUGACAGUUAUGAAGUGAGCUGCUUUUAAAACCAUUCAUGUGCAGGUUUUUAUUGGACCUAAAUUUUCAACUCCUUUGGGCCAGUACCAAGGAGCUUGAGUGCUGGACCAUAUGGUAAGAAUAUAUUUAGUUUUUUAAGAAACUGCAAACUCUCUUCUAAAGUGGCUGUACCUUUUGCAUUCCCCCUUGCAAUGAAUGACACAGUUCCUGUUCUGUAUCUUUACCAGGGUAUGGUGGUGUCAGUGUUCCAGAUUCUGGCCAUUCCCAUAGAUGUGGAGUGAUAUUUCACUGUUGUUUUAAUUUGCAUUUCCCUAAUGACAUAUUAUUAUAUGGAGUAUCUCUUCAUAUGCUUAUUUGCCAUCUGUUUAUCUUCUUUGGUGGGGUGUCUGUUAAGAUCUUUGGCCCAUUAUUUAAUCAGGUUGUUUCCAUAUUAUUAAAGCAUUUUAAGAGUUCUUUGUAUAUUUGAAUAACAGUACUUUAUGAGAUGUGUUUUUUGUGAAAAACCACUGAAUUAUAUACUUCGAGAAGUGAAUUUUAUGGUGUGUGAAUUAUCUCACUUUUAAGAUCUAUGAAAAAAUAUUGAUGACUAGUCUCUAUUCAUAUCAAUCAAACUCAAAUAUCUGAGGAAAGGUCUGGGCAUUUGAAUCUUUGAAGGCUCCCUGGUGAUUUUGAAGCACCACAGGAUUAGAAUUUGUUGCAUUAAAUAAACCAUCAAUCUUUUUUAUUGUGAAUUUAUUGGCAGAGAUUAAGAAGGUUUUGACCUUCCAUUGCUCUGAUGGUUAAUUUUGAUAGGGCGUAUGUAGGAAAAGGCCUAGAGUAAUUAUAGCUAAAUUCACCCAUGCCAGAAUUCACGAGUGCUAUCAACAACAAAAAAUUAUUUCAUUAUAUUAUAAUGUGUUUUUUAAAAAAACAGUUUUCCCCAGAGCUAAUCAGUUAUCAUCUCCUCACGUAUUCUCUGCAUGGUAAUAUCACUGAAGAGCCUUCAAAGGAUGUAACAUUACUUUUGAUUAUGGUGUCAGUGUAACAAUCUGCACUGUCAGGUUUUUGUUGUCUUGUUUUGCUUCCAGUCUACUCCUUAUUCAAAGUCCACAUGGGGAUAGCCAUGGUAACUCCAAGUUUUGAGGACUUCUCCCUUUGGACAAUCCCGGAAGUGGGAUGCAGCCUUCAGAUCCUGGGUGGUCCAAAGUUGUGGGGUGGGGUGCUUGAAGUGAGCCUCAGUUAAACUAUUUCACCCACCUAAGUGAAGACAAGAACCGCAACUGCUCAGUGGUUUUUAAUUCUACUUUGUCAUUUGUUAUAUUCCUACUUAAUUCCAAAGAGGAAGUUGGAGAAAUUUGAUUGUUUGUCUAAUAAAGUAGAUGUAGGCCCAGAGCAGGCCUU
This is a non-coding RNA of Manis javanica (Malayan pangolin), 6339 nucleotides long. Lineage: Eukaryota; Metazoa; Chordata; Mammalia; Pholidota; Manidae. The record is from RefSeq and is a predicted model, not a curated record.